UCGUCCUUCUUUACAACGCUGUCUAUCUUGAAAGUGGAGGUGUUGUCUGAAGUAAUGACAAUGACAAUGAACCUCCAUCUCAGCAGAGGUUUGGUGUUACUGUUUUGGUUUAUGCCAGAAGGAUGAAUGACCUCAUUGAAAUGAGCUGAAUGAUUUUGUAUCUAAACAGAUGGCCCUCUUAAGACUUGGCCCUCCAGAAGUGAACCAACUGGUACCAUCAAAGUUAAAAUUCUUGGCUUUGGCCUGGUUCCAAAGGAUCUGACGUCCCAGAAGUGCACUGAUGUCUGCCGUGUUAAAGGCACUGAUAGCUUCUGAUAACAAUGGAUUUACACAAGCCCAGGUACCCAGCAAGUCCCUGAUGGAGUCAAGACCUUUGGUUUUGGUCUUUGAGGCAAGAUCAACCCUGAGAGCAAAAUCUGUUCAACAUCUUUCUCUGGGGGAGUCUUGAGUUUAGCUGUGUCUUCUGCUAUUGGAUGUUUGUGUAUCUAUAACAUUUCUGUGAUUUAAGCCAAUAAAAGCUUUUCUGUU
Molecule: long non-coding RNA, 528 nt
Organism: Xyrauchen texanus (razorback sucker)
Lineage: Eukaryota; Metazoa; Chordata; Actinopteri; Cypriniformes; Catostomidae
Exons: 5
Source: RefSeq, a predicted model, not a curated record